Molecule: ribosomal RNA, 478 nt
Filed under: uncultured bacterium
Lineage: Bacteria
Description: partial 16S ribosomal RNA
Rfam family: Bacterial small subunit ribosomal RNA
Source: RNAcentral
GACGAACGCUGGCGGCGUGCUUAACACAUGCAAGUCGAACGGUAAGGCCCUUCGGGGUACACGAGUGGCGAACGGGUGAGUAACACGUGGGUGAUCUGCCCUGCACUUCGGGAUAAGCCUGGGAAACUGGGUCUAAUACCGGAUAGGACUCCGGACUGCAUGGUCUGGGGUGGAAAGCUUUUGCGGUGUGGGAUGGGCCCGCGGCCUAUCAGCUUGUUGGUGGGGUGAUGGCCUACCAAGGCGACGACGGGUAGCCGGCCUGAGAGGGUGACCGGCCACACUGGGACUGAGAUACGGCCCAGACUCCUACGGGAGGCAGCAGUGGGGAAUAUUGCACAAUGGGCGCAAGCCUGAUGCAGCGACGCCGCGUGAGGGAUGACGGCCUUCGGGUUGUAAACCUCUUUCAGUAGGGACGAAGCGAAAGUGACGGUACCUAAAGAAGAAGCACCGGCUAACUACGUGCCAGCCGCCGCGGUAA